CCUACGGGAGGCAGCAGUGGGGAAUAUUGGGCAAUGGAGGAAACUCUGACCCAGCGACGCCGCGUGCGGGAUGAAGGCCUUCGGGUUGUAAACCGCUUUCAGUAGGGAAGAAGCGAAAGUGACGGUACCUACAGAAGAAGCACCGGCUAACUAUGUGCCAGCAGCCGCGGUAAUACAUAGGGUGCAAGCGUUGUCCGGAAUUAUUGGGCGUAAAGAGCUCGUAGGUGGUUCGUCACGUCGGAUGUGAAAAUCUGGGGCUCAACCCCAGACCUGCAUUCGAUACGGGCGAUCUAGAGUGUGGUAGGGGAGACUGGAAUUCCUGGUGUAGCGGUGGAAUGCGCAGAUAUCAGGAGGAACACCAAUGGCGAAGGCAGGUCUCUGGGCCAUUACUGACACUGAGGAGCGAAAGCGUGGGGAGCGAACAGGAUUAGAUACCCUGGUAGUCCACGCCGUAAACGGUGGGCACUAGUUGUGGGAACCUUCCACGGUUUCUGCGACGCNGCUACGCAUAGUAGCCCGCCGUCGGGAGGUACGAGUCGCGAGAAGUUAAACGUAACGUAAAGGUAAGUUAGUUACGGCGUGAGACGUGCCGACGGCGACGACGAGGGAGGAGG
This 614-nucleotide ribosomal RNA is filed under the name uncultured bacterium. RNAcentral describes it as "bacterial SSU rRNA". The stretch from base 1 to 521 matches the Rfam family "Bacterial small subunit ribosomal RNA", at positions 338 to 873 of the family's 1533-position model. The record is from RNAcentral.